This 115-nucleotide small nuclear RNA is filed under the name Helianthus annuus (common sunflower). The record is from RNAcentral. Lineage: Eukaryota; Viridiplantae; Streptophyta; Magnoliopsida; Asterales; Asteraceae.
UUAAUUGAAACAAUGACGUGAUAAGCAGCUUGAAAUUGGACGAUACGCAGAGAAGAGAUGCAUGGCCCCUGCGCAAGGAUGACAUGCACAAAUCAAAAAAAUGGUCCAAAUUUUU